This is a long non-coding RNA of Capsicum annuum, 2617 nucleotides long. RefSeq lists it as uncharacterized. The record is from RefSeq and is a predicted model, not a curated record. Lineage: Eukaryota; Viridiplantae; Streptophyta; Magnoliopsida; Solanales; Solanaceae. The transcript is spliced from 4 exons.
UCUCUCUUCUUUAUCUUUAUCUCAUCUUUAGGGUAAUCCCAAUGUCUCUUAUUUCUCUCUUCUUUUACCUGAGAAUCCUUUCAGAUCUCAUCCAAUCUAUAUAUUUUCUUCUCUUUCGCCUGAGAAUUGUGUUUUGAUACCUUUUUUUACAUGGCAGAUUGGUCAUUUAUUGGGAGAACUUAAAAAGAUAAAAUAUUUCUCCCAAAAGAAAAAGAAGUUAAAAUGGAUCAACUUUUGUCUGAACAACAUAAAAGGCUAAAGUAAAGAUGUGUUCAAAGGAAGCUGCCUGCAGAUGGAAACACAUUAUAUGUGGAAGGUAUAUAUUAAUGAUCAAGUUAUCAUGAAAACACACAUAAAGUACAUUGAUUUUGUGAAUGUUGUUUUUUACCAAUUUGAAAUUUACCAUUCAAAUAAGAUAUUGCAAUUUAUAGUUAAGUUUGAUAGGUUCGAACUGAUAAGGCUGAGGGACCUAGAAGAUGGUGUUGAUACCCUAUUACAGUUUAAUGAUGGUUUUGCUAAUGUUUAUGUGUCAAGUUUUGAUAAGGGAUCAAGUUUUGGUGGUAGUGUAGAUAUUCAAUAGUGAUUGGACUGAUUUUAAGGGUUCAAUGGACUUUUGAAAGGCCUCUGAUGACUCUUACUACUGUAAACAAAAAUGGAAAUCCCAUGGAAAUCGCCCUGGUUCAAAUUUAUGGAUGGGUUGCUAAGGGUGAUGAUUAUACAACAUAAAGUGCUUGGGAGAAUAUCUACAAGAGAAGGGGAGGUGCUAAAGACUAUCUCAACUCAGAUCUUAUUAAAGAAAGAAAACACGGGGUAGUGAGGAACUUGUACCAAAUCUGGUGAAUGAAAAUGACAUGUAAAAUAAAAAAAUUGAAUGAGAUACAAAAAUAAAAGUGUAUUAAAAAAUGAAUAUCCAUCACUCAUUAUUGAAAAGAAAAAUGAUAUGGUGGACUGGAGCUAUGCACUUUACCAGGAACUACAACUAGUUAGCGUGGUCUGAAUAAUCACCUCCAAAGAAAGAAACACAAGUCCAAGGAAGACGCUUUGUGAGGAUCGAUGGAUGGGAAUAUGUACAGUCAAGAAUGAAACUUUCACCAAGAACUACUGAAGUUAAAAUAAGCAAUCAAGCUAAGACGAAAAUUUUUGAAGUUAAACUUGUAUCCUAUGCAUUCUGUUUGUGGUUUUGGUUACAUCAAUUGCAGUAGAAAAAAAAAGGCAUGGGAUUUUUGCUCAACUUCAGACUUUUUUGUUUCCACUACUAUUGACCUGAUCAUAACCAAAAAGAGAAGGCAUGAGAUGCAAGUUUAACUUCAAAAAUAUUCACCUUGGCUUGAUCCCUUAUUUUAACUUCAGCAGUUCUUGGUGCAAGUUUCAUUCUUGAUUGUACAUCUUCCCAUCCCUCGAUGCUCGCAAAGCGGCUUUCUUAAAACUUGUGUUACUUUCUUUGGAGGAGAUCAUUGAUACUAUGCUAACUAGUCCCUGUUACCUAGAAAAGUGUACAGCUCCAGCCAACUAUACCAUUUUUCUUUUCAACAACGACUGAUGGAUUUUUAUUUUUAGAUACACUUUUAUAUUUUUAGCUUAUUUAAAUUUUUCAUUUUUCAAGUCAAUUUCAUUAGCCAUAUUAGCAAGAAGUUCCUUUCUUGCUACCCUAUAUUUUUUCUUUAAAAAGGUAUGAGAUGAUAUAGUCUUCAGUAACUCUCCAUUCUCGCAGAUAUUCUCCUACAUCAGGUUCUGCUAUUUAAUCAACAUUUUGAGCCACCCAUUUAUAUAAAUUUGGACUAGGGGAAUUUCUAUUGGUUUGCCAUUCUUGUUUUUUGCACUGUGAGGAUUUUAAGGCUUUCUCAAACUCCGUUGCACCAUUAAAACUAGUCCAAUCACUAUUGAAUAUCUACACUGCUAUCAAAUAUUGAUCCCUUCUCUAAACUUGAUGCAUAAACAUGAGCAAAACAGUCAUUAAAUUAUAACAGGGUAUCAUCACCAUCUUUAUGAUCCCUCAGUUUGGAACUAUCAAAUUUAACUGCAAAAUGCAGGCUCUUGUUUGAAGGAUUAAUCCCUAAUCAAUAAAGAACCGCAUUCACAAAGUCAUCGCACUUAAUAUGUCUUAUCAUGAUAAGUUGAUUGGUAAUACAUACCUACCACACAUGAAAGUGGAUCCAUCUAUCUGGACAUACCUUAUUAUUCCUACUCCAUCAAUGUCAAACAACAUUCUAUCUUCAGUUCCCAUAUUGAAGUAGCGUACAAAACUAUGGAGGUCAAAAGAGAUGGCUGAUCUGAUUUGCAAUAUGACGAUUCUACGCGACACCGUGCAAAAAAUUCAAACGCAGAUUAAUGAACUAUAGUGGGAGUUGGGCACCACGAGAGCAAGGAUACUUCAUGAAAUUCGAAGGAUGAGGAGGGCCCUGUUGUUAUCGGUUGACGAUUGACCAAUUGACAAUAUUAUUAAUAAUAAUAAUAAUGAUAACAUUAAUAAUGAUAAUAAUAAUUAGGUUAUUUUUUUCUUUUAGCGUAUGUAUUUUGUUUUAUUUAUAUCGGAUCAACCUAAACCUAAUGCAAUGUAUGUUUUGUUUUAUUUUGUAUUUUAUUUUUGUAUGUAAAGAAUUAAAAAAACUAUGUUUGG